Molecule: ribosomal RNA, 651 nt
Filed under: Bacteroidetes bacterium TH-G48
Lineage: Bacteria; Pseudomonadati; Bacteroidota
Description: bacterial SSU rRNA
Rfam family: Bacterial small subunit ribosomal RNA
Source: RNAcentral
GGCCUAAUACAUGCAAGUCGAACGAUAGUAAGAAGCUUGCUUCUUACGAAAGUGGCGCACGGGUGCGUAACGCGUAUGCAACCUACCUUAAUCAGGGGGAUAGCCCGAAGAAAUUCGGAUUAACACCGCAUAAAAACACAGGAUAGCAUUAUCCAAUGUUCAAAUAUUUAUAGGAUUAAGAUGGGCAUGCGUGUCAUUAGCUAGUUGGCGGGGUAACGGCCCACCAAGGCGACGAUGACUAGGGGAUCUGAGAGGAUGACCCCCCACACUGGUACUGAGACACGGACCAGACUCCUACGGGAGGCAGCAGUAAGGAAUAUUGGUCAAUGGAGGCAACUCUGAACCAGCCAUGCCGCGUGCAGGAAGACAGCCCUCUGGGUCGUAAACUGCUUUUAUUCGGGAAUAAACCUAUUUACGUGUAGAUAGCUGAAUGUACCGAAGGAAUAAGGAUCGGCUAACUCCGUGCCAGCAGCCGCGGUAAUACGGAGGAUCCAAGCGUUAUCCGGAUUUAUUGGGUUUAAAGGGUGCGUAGGCGGCUUAUUAAGUCAGGGGUGAAAGACGGUGGCUCAACCAUCGCAGUGCCCUUGAUACUGAUGAGCUUGAAUACACUAGAGGUAGGCGGAAUGUGACAAGUAGCGGUGAAAUGCAUAG